RNAcentral lists this unclassified non-coding RNA (345 nucleotides) under Hevea brasiliensis (rubber tree). The record is from RNAcentral. Lineage: Eukaryota; Viridiplantae; Streptophyta; Magnoliopsida; Malpighiales; Euphorbiaceae.
CUUCCGGUGGCGAUUUCUCUUCAGGUAUGGUCACAUAUAUGUUUUCAAUUAGCAUUUUGACAAUGAAUAUAUAAAUUGUUUUGAUAUUUUCUAUUAAGUUAACGUUUUAUUGAAUGUAGAAGUGGAGCCUUGCUAGUUGUUGGCAAUGGCAUUACCGCCUUAGCACGUUUAGUAUUGCGUUAAGUAUCGAUAUUUUUCCCCCCUCGGAGGCUACUCUGAUCUUUUACUACUAGAAUUCUUUACUUUAUAGCCUUAGAUAUCUAUCUUUUCUGUUCUUUUUAGUCAGACUAAAGAUGUAAGUUAGGAGUACUAUUAGAGAGCCAACGGGUUGAUGCAUGUAAAGCA